UUUUUCAGAAUUAAAUACCAAAUGUUUACAUUCGUUUAAAAAGAAAAACGUUUUUAAACUUUUUAAAAAUGCAUUAUGGGCCCAUCCCGGGCCUGGUUCUGAUCAGGGUCGCGCAGUUUUCGCUUGAUGUACAGCUGCAAAACGAAAGGUCCAAUUCAAUCCGUUUCCUUUUUCUGCUCAGUCGAAUUUCACAGUCCAUUCAUUCAGAUUGUGGUGUAUUAUAUUUGCAUGGAACUGUGAAUCUGACUGUAUUGGGUUGAAAUAUAUGAGGAUGAACUGGACUGGACAGUUUAAUGUGAUUGCAUAUGUUAAGAUGAAGUAUUUUGAGAUUUCCUUAACUUAAAGGUGAUAAAAAAAUAAAAAUAAAAAAAAACUACCACUGUAAUUUAACGUCUGGUCCAAUGGUUUACUGUAAGGUUUUUAUUUACAUUUUGCACAGCAUGAGCAGGGUCGUAUAAAUUAUUUCUUCAUCUAGCGCCAAGAAUCAUAAACAAGAAUAUGUCAAACAGUUCUGUAUGCAUGCGGAAUGAGUAUUUUAUUCAUAACCAGUUUAUAAAAAUAAAAUACAAAAUAAUUCUAAAAUAAAAACAAAAUUAAAGAAACACUGUACAAGGCAUUUAUAUGAUACAAAUAAAAUAUCAAACAUAAAUAAUUACAGGUAUAUACAAUGCAAAACUCCCACUUGUUACAUUCCUUCCUUGAAGCUGCACAGUGACAUUUAAAAAACAAUGGCAUAUGCUACAGCAAAGAAAAAAUAUUAAACAUAAAAAAAAAGAAAAAUCAUGAUUUUUGAAUUUAAAAUAAAGUUGAGGCUAAUGUCACAAUAAAUAAAUUCAAGUCAAGCAUUUCUAGGUCAUUGACAAGUAUUCUAAUGUGGCAUGAACAGUGUUUUUUUAAUUUUAUCUCAUUUUUCGAAGAAGAAAACAAAAACCAGAACAGGUCAGUUUGUUCUUUCGGUCUGUGUGUAGAAGGAACCACUAACACAAAAAAAAGAAAAAAAGAAAAAAAAGACACCGUUCUACCUGCGAGUCACUUUCAAAAGUGACAAAGGAAAUCUAACUUGGACAGAAACACUAACACUACGACUACACACACCACUUCUGUGCAUUAAUAAGAAAAACCAUGACGAAAUCUGAUUAUCAUAGAAAACCAGCAGCAUUGUUUACCACCUGUUCCUUCCUCUCAUUGAAGCAUAUAAGUUAUUGGUUUUUUUGGGAUUUUUU
This is a long non-coding RNA of Poecilia latipinna (sailfin molly), 1223 nucleotides long. RefSeq lists it as uncharacterized. The record is from RefSeq and is a predicted model, not a curated record. Lineage: Eukaryota; Metazoa; Chordata; Actinopteri; Cyprinodontiformes; Poeciliidae. The transcript has 3 exons.